UACAGAGGGGGCAAGCGUUGUUCGGAAUUACUGGGCGUAAAGGGCGCGUAGGCGGCCUUCUAAGUCGAACGUGAAAUCCCCGGGCUCAACCCGGGAACUGCGUCCGAGACUGAAAGGCUUGAAUCCGGGAGAGGGAUGCGGAAUUCCACGUGUAGCGGUGAAAUGCGUAGAGAUGUGGAGGAACACCAGUGGCGAAGGCGACUUUCUGGCCUAUAACUGACGCUGAGGCGCGAAAGCGUGGGGAGCAAACAGG
This 253-nucleotide ribosomal RNA is filed under the name uncultured bacterium. RNAcentral's name for it is "partial 16S ribosomal RNA". It matches the Rfam family "Bacterial small subunit ribosomal RNA", at positions 524 to 776 of the family's 1533-position model. The record is from RNAcentral.